GAGUUGUAGCCUCGUGUACGGGCAAAGCGCCCCCCGACCA
RNAcentral lists this transfer RNA (40 nucleotides) under Cyrtodactylus pubisulcus (Inger's bow-fingered gecko). RNAcentral's name for it is "partial tRNA-Tyr". Lineage: Eukaryota; Metazoa; Chordata; Lepidosauria; Squamata; Gekkonidae. The record is from RNAcentral.